Molecule: ribosomal RNA, 433 nt
Filed under: uncultured bacterium
Lineage: Bacteria
Description: partial 16S ribosomal RNA
Rfam family: Bacterial small subunit ribosomal RNA
Source: RNAcentral
AACGAACGCUGGCGGCAUGCCUAACACAUGCAAGUCGAACGAGACCUUCGGGUCUAGUGGCGCACGGGUGCGUAACGCGUGGGAACCUUCCCUUAGGUUCGGAAUAACUCCCCGAAAGGGGUGCUAAUACCGGAUAAUGUCUUCGGACCAAAGAUUUAUCGCCUUUGGAUGGGCCCGCGUUGGAUUAGCUAGUUGGUAGGGUAAAAGCCUACCAAGGCGAAGAUCCAUAGCUGGUCUGAGAGGAUGAUCAGCCACACUGGGACUGAGACACGGCCCAGACUCCUACGGGAGGCAGCAGUGGGGAAUAUUGGACAAUGGGCGAAAGCCUGAUCCAGCAAUGCCGCGUGAGUGAUGAAGGCCUUAGGGUUGUAAAGCUCUUUUACCCGGGAUGAUAAUGACAGUACCGGGAGAAUAAGCCCCGGCUAACUCCGUG